GGAAUAUUGGACAAUGGGCGAAAGCCUGAUCCAGCAAUGCCGCGUGAGUGAUGAAGGCCUUAGGGUUGUAAAGCUCUUUCACCGGUGAAGAUAAUGACGGUAACCGGAGAAGAAGCCCCGGCUAACUUCGUGCCCGCAGCCGCGGUAAUACGAAGGGGGCUAGCGUUGUUCGGAAUUACUGGGCGUAAAGCGCACGUAGGCGGAUUGUUAAGUUAGAGGUGAAAUCCCGGGGCUCAACUCCGGAACUGCCUUUAAUACUGGCAAUCUUGAGUCCGAGAGAGGUGAGUGGAACUCCUAGUGUAGAGGUGGAAUUCGUAGAUAUUAGGAAGAACACCAGUGGCGAAGGCGGCUCACUGGCUCGGUACUGACGCUGAGGUGCGAAAGCGUGGGGAGCAAA
Molecule: ribosomal RNA, 397 nt
Filed under: uncultured bacterium
Lineage: Bacteria
Description: bacterial SSU rRNA
Rfam family: Bacterial small subunit ribosomal RNA
Source: RNAcentral